GUUGUUCUGGAAUGUGAAUUAUGUAAAGAGAGCCCGGUUAUUAGUGUGUGUGUAAUUCUAUCCUCAUCUCGAGGUCUCGGUGUUGCGUGCGGUUCUAGCCUUCGUCAUUUGAACAGCUUAACUUUGCCGUUACUUAGUCACUGAUAUUGCCGUCUAAGUAAUUUCAUAAUAUCUUAAGAUAAUUUCUUAAUUUAUUAAAUAAUUUCUUAAUAAGUUUAACGUUAGAUGAUAUCAGUAUUAUUUAACAAAUAUCAAAAGGUUGUGUUUUGUUACCAUUAUGUUAUUUGGAACACGUUCAAAGAUGCUUAUAUAACAAUCCUAUUAUAGCUUGUGAUUGGCAGCCAGAAAGUGAAAAUAAAUAUGGGGCUAAGAAUACGAUUUGGUUAAUUCAGUACUCUAUAAAACAAAGCAAAACAAGAAGAAAAGGACUACUAAACAGCUUAAGGAUCAUUUCACCUACACGUGAGAUUGUCAAGAAACAAGUAGCUCAAAAAUCUGUUCUGAACACAAGUCGAAGAUAAGAACAGUCUGAUAAGAAUAGACAAUCCAGAGCAAGAAGUUGGUAAGAUGAUUACUAUGAAUAGUAAACUU
Bolinopsis microptera is the source of this 591-nucleotide long non-coding RNA. RefSeq lists it as uncharacterized. The record is from RefSeq and is a predicted model, not a curated record. The transcript is spliced from 4 exons. Lineage: Eukaryota; Metazoa; Ctenophora; Tentaculata; Lobata; Bolinopsidae.